Molecule: small nucleolar RNA, 219 nt
Filed under: Coniosporium apollinis CBS 100218
Lineage: Eukaryota; Fungi; Ascomycota; Dothideomycetes
Description: Fungal small nucleolar RNA U3
Rfam family: Fungal small nucleolar RNA U3
About the family: Small nucleolar RNAs (snoRNAs) are involved in the processing and modification of rRNA in the nucleolus. There are two main classes of snoRNAs: the box C/D class, and the box H/ACA class.
Source: Rfam by way of RNAcentral
UCUCGCAGUACUUCAUAGAAUCAUUUCUAUAGUAUAUGUCCUCUUCUGAGCUCCUUACCAGAGCCACAGAAUCUCCAACCUGGCUGAUGAGACGUAUCCUCGGCGCCCUGGAGUGAGAACUUUACUCCCGCUUCGGCGGGAGUGGCGAUGAUCUCGACCACACUUGGCUUUGGUUUCGGCCUGGCUGGUGGGGUGGGCGUUGAUGGACUUCUGACAGGC